This 119-nucleotide ribosomal RNA is filed under the name Sinocyclocheilus anshuiensis. Lineage: Eukaryota; Metazoa; Chordata; Actinopteri; Cypriniformes; Cyprinidae. The record is from RNAcentral.
GCUUACGGCAAUACCGCCCUAUCUGCGCCCGAUCUCGUCUGAUCUCUGAAGCUAAGCAGGGUCGGGGCUGGUUAGUACUUAUAAGGGAGACCGCCUGGGAAUAGCAGCUGCUGUAAGCU